AGAUCUCUCUCUCUGCGGAAGCCAGCCACCGCUCUCCAAGGACUCUCGAGCAGCUCCAUCUACAGAUUCACAUGGAGAAGAAUUAAGGGUUCCUGCCAAUCACCAGCACCACUUUGCCAGCCUUGUAAGUGGGCCACCUUGGAAUUGGAGCCUCCAGUUCCUACUGACAUCUGACUGCAACAUCAUGAGAGACCCUGAGUUUGAACCACCCAGCUGAGCUGCUUCUGAGCUAACCCACUGAAACCGUGAAAGUACCUGAAUGAAACAACACCCAGUAGCCACUAGCACACCUAGCUCCCAGAUCUGUUUUUGAUGCCAUUCUUCAGUAAAAGGAAGCAAGGCUGCUUGGAGAAAUUGCUAUCAAGGACUGGGGUAGAAAAUAUACAAGAUGAAAUUGGAGCAUCUUGUAGUGCUUGAAAACAGUUGGCAUCUGUGUGAAGAUGUGAAUGGAGGAGGCAGAGUAGGCAGUGAGUGCCGCAGCCACAGCUUGUGUUCUCUGCAGCCCUGGCACAGAAGAUAGGAACACUCAUGGGGGAUGCGGCCACUGUGAUGUCUUCCCACACAAGAAGUGCCAAGUGCUUUUCUCAUGCUUUUCUGGAUUGUCCCAUGGUGGACGAGUCAGCAGGAGUGAGAUGGAGCAGCACAGUAGAGGGGCCAGGAUAUCGUUGUACAUAUUCUCAGCUAAGUGAGCACCAAUAGAGGAGAGGGAGAGUCUCAUGGAAGUUCCUUCUAAGCCUUUGGCUCUUUUUACCUUCAACAAGGUGUGCCACCUCUUUGAUCCAGCAAGUGGGAAGAACAGUCCCGGCCUCUUUGCACACAAGACCGUGAUACCAAUGCACCAUCACAGGCCCCACAGGGGAGCUGUCCGCUUCCCCACACAGCUGCUAGGGGCUCUUUUGCAUGUUCCCAACCUUUCCUGCCUUUAUCUGAUAUUCGUUCCUUAGAUCCUGGGAUGAGGAGGUGGACCAGCAGAAGGUGGGCUUGUGAAGGCAGCCCGGGGUCCAAAUCCUCCUGGCUCUUCAGCUUAGCGGGUUAGUUAACAUUCAGAAGCCUUCAUCUCCCAUCUGCAAAAUGGGCAUGUCCAACUCAGAAGCUGCCUUGAAGAAAGGGUCUACCCAGCAUGGUGCGUGGAGCCUAAGCAGUCAGUACUUCAGGACUUCACCCGGCCCCUUUCCAAUAACUGCUGCUGUCGCCCUCACAGGAUGUCACCUUCAGCGUCUGAAAGCUGGGUUUGAUGCGUCUGGAAAGGCGUCCCUGACAGGCGUCGUUGCCAGGAGCCCCUAGUGCCACCAGCAGCCAGCAGGGGAGGGCGUCCUCUGCCCGCUCACUUCUGACCCUUCUCUCGUUGCACCCGGAACAUGGUGCAGCUGGGAGCAGCCUGGGCUGCGCGGAAGGCUCAGAUUUGGGGACGGCCCUUGCCAGUGACUGUGAGCUGGGGUGUCUUGGAAACUCCCAGUCUCAGCUUCUCCAUUUAUAAGAUGAGAAUGAUCAUACCAGACUCAGGCAAGGUUGUUUGUGCAUUAGUGAAAUCAGACGUAUUAAAUAAAGUACCACAUUGAUCGUGGAGUUGUUGAAUAACCAAGAACACGCCUAUCUGUCUCCAAAAAAUAAAUGUUGAAAAUGA
Long non-coding RNA from Homo sapiens (human), 1624 nucleotides. Ensembl annotates it as long intergenic non-protein coding RNA 658. The record is from Ensembl. NCBI's taxonomy places the organism in Eukaryota, Metazoa, Chordata, Mammalia, Primates, Hominidae.